GCGAAGAACCUUACCUACUCUUGACAUCCAGAGAACUUAGCAGAGAUGCUUUGGUGCCUUCGGGAACUCUGAGACAGGUGCUGCAUGGCUGUCGUCAGCUCGUGUUGUGAAAUGUUGGGUUAAGUCCCGCAACGAGCGCAACCCUUAUCCUUGUUUGCCAGCGAGUAAUGUCGGGAACUCCAGGGAGACUGCCGGUGAUAAACCGGAGGAAGGUGGGGACGACGUCAAGUCAUCAUGGCCCUUACGAGUAGGGCUACACACGUGCUACAAUGGCGCAUACAGARGGSGGCCAACUUGCGAAAGUGAGCGAAUCCCAAAAAGUGCGUCGUAGUCCGGAUUGGAGUCUGCAACUCGACUCCAUGAAGUCGGA
Molecule: ribosomal RNA, 370 nt
Filed under: Vibrio sp.
Lineage: Bacteria; Pseudomonadati; Pseudomonadota; Gammaproteobacteria; Vibrionales; Vibrionaceae
Description: bacterial SSU rRNA
Rfam family: Bacterial small subunit ribosomal RNA
Source: RNAcentral